GCCAUUUUAAAAUUCCCGAACAGCGGUGUUUUGCCGUCGAGUGUCUGGAACCCAAAUCGGACACUCGACUAGGCCAACACCGCUGAGACCUCCACAAGCUCGGUCCGUUCGGUUCCAAACUACCGAACGGCCCCUCGUUCGGUAGACAGAAACAACUGAACGACGGGAUUUAUGCUAACCCUACCUGAUCUCUGUAGCCUCAGCCUUUCAUGCAAUUUAUUCCCCUAUACUGUGACCGACCGCAGGGCCCCAUCACUGCCCACUAUUAUCAAGGAGAAGGCACAACCUCAUAUGGCGCGGCAGUCCCCAUCACAACUAUAGAACAGUGGGAAGUUCUUCAUGAAGCGGAUCCAGUACAGGCCAAUGCUGAUAAUCGUCAGCACCAUAGAAAAACUUGGAGAGUAAGCGGUCCAAGGACUACGUGACUCAGGAGCUACUAUAACCCUGGUAAAAAGUCACCUGGUCUCGGAUCAGGCUAAGCUCAGCAAAACUGUAGCCGUCAGGGUAGCCAGGGGAGCAGUGUACCGGCUACCUACCGCAAGGGUACAUUUGCAUUGGGGAGCGGGGUCAGGACACGUGGAGGUGGGGUUGAUGCCGCAGUUACCAGAGGAGGUUUUGUUGGGGAAUGAUC
Molecule: non-coding RNA, 631 nt
Organism: Pelobates cultripes (western spadefoot toad)
Lineage: Eukaryota; Metazoa; Chordata; Amphibia; Anura; Pelobatidae
Source: the annotation of a GenBank genome assembly